Ictalurus punctatus (channel catfish) is the source of this 1361-nucleotide long non-coding RNA. NCBI's taxonomy places the organism in Eukaryota, Metazoa, Chordata, Actinopteri, Siluriformes, Ictaluridae. The record is from Ensembl.
CCAUAUAGUCCAGUUACUCUUUUCACAUAGCCUGAAGUUGCUACUUAGGGUUGACGUUCGACAUUGAUGCAUGAAUGAAUUGUUUUAGAUUAUUAUUAUUUUUAAAUCCCUAGAGUCCAGUAACUUUCACACAGCAGCAGUUACUUAUUGUUGACCUUAGACAUGUGUAUAUAUGCAGGAAGUGUAGCUUAAAUCAUGCACAGUUACAGAUGAGGAACAAGGAAAUAAAGAGAAAUUCCCAGACCCAGAGGAAAAUCAAAAGGUGAUCAACAAAAUUGGUGUAAAUUUCACACUGCUGUGAACUGAGGUUUUGGCUUUGAGAACUGAAUUCCAAGGGUGUUCGAUUUGCAUUCAACCCACGGAGUUCAGUUCUUAAGCUUGGAUGCUCCAAACAACAUGGAUGGAUACAAAACAGCUGCAGAGAAACCACCAGCAUCGUGUUGCUAAACACACUGAAGGUGAGGAUUCAACUGGUGUUGUGCUGUUCAAGUCUUGGGCAUGUAUAACAUACAGAAUUAUUCACGAAGUCCUGAAGAGGUUUGGGUUAUUAUGCAUUUUCUCAAAUGCUCAGUUACUAUAUAAAUGUCGUAGAUAAAAUAUAUGUAUGCCUAUCAUUUAAUAUUCAUUACGCCUUUGUGUCGGGUAGAGAAGAAUACAACUAGGACAUAGCACAACUAGCACUUACCUCGAUGUAACAUAUAAGACAUACAUAUAACACAUCUCUACACUUUAAAUGUUUAAAUAUUUUUAUUAUUUUUUUUAAAUAGACCAAAUGAAAAGGCCACAAAUGGUGUUUAUUAACCAAAUGAUUGACGAGGGUUAUGACAGAUUUUUUUCAUGAGCAGGGUUUAAUAAUAUGUGAACACUUUUAUAUAAACAAACAUGUCUUUAUCUUUUGCAAUAAAAAAAAAGAAAGCUAAAUGAAGAGACAACUAUAAGCUGCACAUACUUUAUGCAGCUGCGGAUUUUGAAUAUUAAUAAAGGAAAUGGAACUUUCAUGAUGUAUCAGUGCAUGACUAUGACUAAUUGGUAUUUAUGAAACAUUGGUAUUUAUAAAUGAGCAUUAUAUGGUUUUAAUAAGGCCUAGGAAGUAUAUGUAAUGUAUAGGUUACCUUGUCCUGAUUUAUUUGACCGAUUUAUAGUAACUUAUUUACUCAGUGUGUUUAACAUUUUUCUCAGUUUUAUACACUGUAUAGAAUAAGUGUAAUCAUAUUAAUGGUUAAGUAUAGUAAAUUAUUAUUGUUUUUUUUGUUGUUGUUGUUCUUUUUUAAUUGUAAAUAAAGUUGUGUAAGAAAUUUGUCUUCAUCUGAUUUCACACCAUAUAGUGCCACAAAGGGGUCGCACAUGCAGGAUGUUUCAAG